Molecule: non-coding RNA, 72 nt
Organism: Desmophyllum pertusum
Lineage: Eukaryota; Metazoa; Cnidaria; Anthozoa; Scleractinia; Caryophylliidae
Source: the annotation of a GenBank genome assembly
UUUUCUGUAGCUCAGUGGUAAAGCGUACGACCGGUGUGUGGAAGGUCAUAGGUUCGACUCCUGCUUGGAGAU